Molecule: ribosomal RNA, 406 nt
Filed under: uncultured bacterium
Lineage: Bacteria
Description: partial 16S ribosomal RNA
Rfam family: Bacterial small subunit ribosomal RNA
Source: RNAcentral
AUUGAACGCUGGCGGCAGGCCUAACACAUGCAAGUCGAGCGAGCGGCGGACGGGUGAGUAAUGUAUGGGGAUCUGCCUGAUGGCGGGGGAUAACUACUGGAAACGGUAGCUAAUACCGCAUACCAUCAGAUGAACCCAUAUGGGAGUAGCUUGUAGGUGAGGUAACGGCUCACCUAGGCGACGAACCCUAGCUGGUCUGAGAGGAUGAUCAGGCACAGUGGGACUGAGACACGGCGCAGACUCCUGCUGGAGGCAGCAGUGGGGAAGAUUGUACAAUGGGCGCAAGCCUGAUGCAGCCAUGCCGCGUGUAUGAAGAAGGCCUUCGGGUUGUAAAGUACUUUCAGUCGGGAGGCGUUACCGACAGAAGAAGCACCGGCUAACUCCGUGCCAGCAGCCGCGGUAAUAC